RNAcentral lists this ribosomal RNA (825 nucleotides) under uncultured bacterium. Its description in RNAcentral is "bacterial SSU rRNA". It matches the Rfam family "Bacterial small subunit ribosomal RNA", at positions 60 to 869 of the family's 1533-position model. The record is from RNAcentral.
AGUCGAGGGGCAUCGGGGCGAGGAGCAAUCCUUGCCGCCGGCGACCGGCGCUCGGGUGAGUAACGCGUAUGCGACCUGCCCGUUGCAGGGGGAUAAUCGGGAGAAAUCCCGUCUAAUACCGCGUAACGCCGCGGGGCUGCAUGGCCCUGCGGCCAAAGGAAGCGAUUCCGGCAACGGAUGGGCAUGCGUGACAUUAGCUAGUUGGCGGGGCAACGGCCCACCAAGGCGACGAUGUCUAGGGGUUCUGAGAGGAAGGUCCCCCACACUGGUACUGAGACACGGACCAGACUCCUACGGGAGGCAGCAGUGAGGAAUAUUGGUCAAUGGGCGCGAGCCUGAACCAGCCAAGUCGCGUGAGGGAUGACGGCCCUACGGGUUGUAAACCUCUUUUGUCGGGGAGCAAAUUUCGCCACGCGUGGCGGAGUCGAGAGUACCCGAAGAAAAAGCAUCGGCUAACUCCGUGCCAGCAGCCGCGGUAAUACGGAGGAUGCGAGCGUUAUCCGGAUUUAUUGGGUUUAAAGGGUGCGUAGGCGGACUGUCAAGUCAGCGGUAAAAUACGGGGGCUCAACCUCCGCCCGCCGUUGAAACUGACGGUCUUGAGUGGGCGAGAAGUAUGCGGAAUGCGUGGUGUAGCGGUGAAAUGCAUAGAUAUCACGCAGAACUCCGAUUGCGAAGGCAGCAUACCGGCGCCCAACUGACGCUGAAGCACGAAAGCGUGGGUAUCGAACAGGAUUAGAUACCCUGGUAGUCCACGCAGUAAACGAUGAAUACUAGCUGUCCGGGGCGAAUGGGCCCUGGGUGGCACAGCGAAAGCGUUAAGUAUUC